GGGGAAUUUUGGACAAUGGGCGCAAGCCUGAUCCAGCCAUGCCGCGUGCAGGAUGAAGGCCUUCGGGUUGUAAACUGCUUUUGUACGGAACGAAAAGACUUCUUCUAAUACAGGAGGUCCAUGACGGUACCGUAAGAAUAAGCACCGGCUAACUACGUGCCAGCAGCCGCGGUAAUACGUAGGGUGCAAGCGUUAAUCGGAAUUACUGGGCGUAAAGCGUGCGCAGGCGGUUAUAUAAGACAGAUGUGAAAUCCCCGGGCUCAACCUGGGAACUGCAUUUGUGACUGUAUAGCUAGAGUACGGUAGAGGGGGAUGGAAUUCCGCGUGUAGCAGUGAAAUGCGUAGAUAUGCGGAGGAACACCGAUGGCGAAGGCAAUCCCCUGGACCUGUACUGACGCUCAUGCACGAAAGCGUGGGGAGCAAACA
RNAcentral lists this ribosomal RNA (426 nucleotides) under uncultured Acidovorax sp. RNAcentral's name for it is "bacterial SSU rRNA". It matches the Rfam family "Bacterial small subunit ribosomal RNA", at positions 356 to 774 of the family's 1533-position model. The record is from RNAcentral. Lineage: Bacteria; Pseudomonadati; Pseudomonadota; Betaproteobacteria; Burkholderiales; Comamonadaceae.